UGGGUGCGCGAUCACGUCGACCACUUUGGUGGCAAUCCAAACUCGAUAACCAUAUUUGGCAAGAGCGCAGGUGUGGUGCCAGCGGGUGCCAGCGGGUGCCAGCGUCGACUUUCACGUUCUGUCUCCAUAUUCCAAAGAGUUGUUUCAUUGAGCCAUCAUUCAAUCGGGGGCAGCGAACUGUCCGUGGGUGUUGGACACGCCCGUCGGCGAAUACACGAAAAUCCUGGCCGAGCAUCUGGAUUGCCCAACGGCCACUUCCGGGGAGUUUACUCCAAUGUCUCCAGGACGCGCAGUGCCGAGGAUAUUGUCGGAAUACGACGCAACAUCACCUUGCCUGAAUUAGUAUUGAUUGGAAUGAUUUCAUUUAUACUAGUA
Molecule: long non-coding RNA, 375 nt
Organism: Daphnia pulex (common water flea)
Lineage: Eukaryota; Metazoa; Arthropoda; Branchiopoda; Diplostraca; Daphniidae
Exons: 2
Source: RefSeq, a predicted model, not a curated record